RNAcentral lists this ribosomal RNA (311 nucleotides) under uncultured soil bacterium. Its description in RNAcentral is "bacterial SSU rRNA". It matches the Rfam family "Bacterial small subunit ribosomal RNA", at positions 26 to 363 of the family's 1533-position model. The record is from RNAcentral.
AGAACGGACGCUGGCGGCAUGCCUAAUACAUGCAAGUCGAACGAACUCUUCGGAGUUAGUGGCGCACGGGUGCGUAACGCGUGGGAAUCUGCCCCUUGGUUCGGAAUAACAGUUGGAAACGACUGCUAAUACCGGAUGAUGACGAAAGUCCAAAGAUUUAUCGCCAAGGGAUGAGCCCGCGUAGGAUUAGCUAGUUGGUGAGGUAAAGGCUCACCAAGGCAACGAUCCUUAGCUGGUCUGAGAGGAUGAUCAGCCACACUGGGACUGAGACACGGCCCAGACCUCCGUACGGGAGGCAGCAGUAGGGAAUA